ACCAGGAUGGCUGAGCGGUUAAGGUGUUACAUUCAAGAUGCAAUGGGCAGUUGUCCUCAUGGGUUCAAGUCCCACUCCUGGUA
Molecule: transfer RNA, 83 nt
Filed under: Perca flavescens (yellow perch)
Lineage: Eukaryota; Metazoa; Chordata; Actinopteri; Perciformes; Percidae
Rfam family: tRNA
About the family: Transfer RNA (tRNA) molecules are approximately 80 nucleotides in length.
Source: Rfam by way of RNAcentral